UUGGUUGGGAAUCUAGUGAUAGCUAGAAAUG
Molecule: non-coding RNA, 31 nt
Filed under: Mus musculus (house mouse)
Lineage: Eukaryota; Metazoa; Chordata; Mammalia; Rodentia; Muridae
Source: RNAcentral